AGGGAGUUUAUUGAAUCUCCAUCCUUGAAGUAUUGAAGUUUUAAGUGGAUGAGACUCUGAGCAGCUUGAUGCAAAUUUGAAGUUAAACCUGCUUUGAUCAUGAGGGAGUAUGAGAAAAAAAUUUAAAAGGACUCACUUGUCCUCAUGGGAAGCAAAAACAUGCCUGCAACCACAAUUAGAAGCUGAGAAAACUGUUUCCUACUGUUUCAACUCUUCAGUGAUCAGCACACUUCRGCGUAGCAAAUAUGAACAUAGAAAUUGCUUCACGUUUCAGAUUUAACUCAUUUUUCACUGA
This is a long non-coding RNA of Nothoprocta perdicaria, 295 nucleotides long. RefSeq lists it as uncharacterized. The record is from RefSeq and is a predicted model, not a curated record. NCBI's taxonomy places the organism in Eukaryota, Metazoa, Chordata, Aves, Tinamiformes, Tinamidae. The transcript is spliced from 2 exons.